Molecule: unclassified non-coding RNA, 1573 nt
Filed under: Apopellia endiviifolia
Lineage: Eukaryota; Viridiplantae; Streptophyta; Jungermanniopsida; Pelliales; Pelliaceae
Description: pri-pen-miR8165
Source: RNAcentral
GAUCAUUCUUUGUGCGUGUGAUGGUUCUGCUGUCUGUAGGAUGAUGAUAGGUAGAACUUCGGUUUGGAUUCAGUCGAUUCCCUCGCGAUCAGGCUUGUGGCCGAUCGUCGGUAGGGCCUGUCGUCUGUUAACCUCGAGGCUAGGAUGUGGGUGAUUGUGACUUUCAGUGGCGAUUCAGUUCGAUUCGCUCGAGAGCAGGUUUGUGGCCGAUUCGUAAGGGCCUGUCGUCUGUUAACCUCGAGGCUAGGAUGUCGGUGAUUGUGACCUUCAGUGGCCUAGCGCGCUCUUGAAGGAAGAAUAUGGCUACCAAUUGCAGGUUGAUUUAGAGUCGUUUGUGUAAUUCUGCGCUUCCAAGGGAUCUUAUUCUUUAAGUGUUAUCCAGGGUUUUUCAGUGAACGCUCGUAUCCGCUCAGGGUCUGCGAUGUUGGAUGUUUUGCUGGUGGAGGGUAUUUGUCGUAUGGGGCCAUCAGUUUGUGAAAAUGGAUUCCUUGCUAGAGAGGACUUUCCUUUCUUGUCAUUUGUUGAUUGAGGGUAUUGUUGGUGAGAUGCCCUUUGUUCAUCAAGAAAAAUGAACUUGAACAGAAAGUCUUCUCUAGUAAAGUCUCCAUAUUGACGAUAUUCGGAUUCGGAUGGAAUGGUGAGAAAGGAGUGAAAGAAUUGGUGAUCAUCCACACUAAGGGAUGUAAACCAUCAGAUCGAUAAAUAUAAACUGAUGAAUAGACAAUGGAUGUAAAUGUUGGGAAGAUAUAAUAUUUUGCCUGUUAUAUUUCAGACAAUUGCUCUACUUCACUAUUGACUCAGCCUUUAUAGUGCCAAAUCCUAUGUGAAUUUUCGCAAGACUUAUAGACGUUAUUUCAAUUCUGUAUAUUUGUGAAAUUUGUUUAUGAUAGGACAUAAGCAUCAUCACCAAUGAUGGAACACCGUGGUCAUUAACUAUAGGCUACAAUACUUGUUCAACAAAGUGCCAUCGCUUUGGUCAUGAGUUUUGAUGAUUGUUUAUCAGUAUGGUGGUUUUUUCAUGCUGGAGAACGCAAUGUGUGCAUACUUGUUUGGGAAGAUGCCACCACUCAUGGAUUUUGACAUUUGUAUCACCUAGCAGUUGGUUUGCAUGGUUAAAAAGUGAAAUGAUGGUAGAACAAUUGAUGUUUAGAUAAUAUAGCAAACCAUCCUCAUCAAACUAUUUAGCUUGAAAUUUAGAACUCUUACAUGUUCAAAGUAAUUUCCCUUUCAUUAUGGCAUACAUUCUGGCAUGAAUAUCUUAUUAUGAUGAUUCCAUCUUUAUCUAGUCUCAAACAACUGAACAUAUGUGUUAACGUGACUCAUCUUUGUCAAAUGAAUAGAUUCUUAUUGCAUCUAGACUCUAUACAUUGAAGGUACAGAUGAUAACAUGAUCAUCAUCAUUUUCAAAGAAAUUGAUGUUGGCUUCUCUAGAUAAAUUACAAAUACUUAGUGAAAUAUCACUAUAUAAUCAUUUUGUUGAUUCAGUUGUUCGAGGCUUUAUUCUUCCAAUUGAGUAACAAUUGUGCCUAUUAAUACAUUAUGUUGCAUUAAUAUUAAUACUCUUGAAAUCUCG